UGAAAGAAUGACGUGGUAAUGAGAGAAUUGGGGGCAGAUUCAAAUUGUAGGGUUAUUUCGAAAAUUUCAGAUUGAAAUGUUUUCAGAGAGAGAAGGUGGAGAACAUUUCACGGAGCACCGAACCUUCGAACCUUCGAGCCAGCCACCACAACUCUCGCCGGAUAUCCACCGCCAGUAGACGUUGUCGUUGCCGUUUUCGCUCCAUCCAGUGCCGUCGUAGUGCCGUCGGUGUCCGUUGUCUUCCACCCAGCCAGGCAGUUCGGAUUGCGGGUCGCCGCAGCUCCGGCGUCGGCAGACGAAUCGAAGACGGCAUCGUCUUCCCUCCGGCCUAGCCAACCAAGGGCGCAUUUUGAGUAUUGAUUCCUCCCACCCGCUUCCUUCCCUGUGCCGGACCCUUGCGGUGGCCGCCGGAGCAUCGCCGGAGUGUCGUCGAAGUGUCGCCGGACCCUUUCGAGGAGACUAGAAAUGAACAAAUUAUCUGAGGAUGUGUCUUCGUUUGUAAAUUGCCUUAGUCUUUCUUUGAUGUAAGUUCUAUCUUUUUUUAUUUUACUUUUGGAACAAUUUAGCAUUAUAGUUCUCUGGAAAGAUCAUAUAACUUUUACCUAACAGAUUGGUUAUUGACUUAAAAAUCUAUACUAAUGUAUCUUACAAAAAUUUAGUUGGUGUUAUUCC
Molecule: long non-coding RNA, 672 nt
Organism: Vigna angularis (adzuki bean)
Lineage: Eukaryota; Viridiplantae; Streptophyta; Magnoliopsida; Fabales; Fabaceae
Exons: 2
Source: RefSeq, a predicted model, not a curated record